GGAGUUUAAAUGUUGCUGUAAAAUUCAACACUAGUAUUUCCAGACACCAUAUCUUUCCAUUGACAGUAGAACAGAUAAACAACAUUUAUGUAAUACACUAAAAUGCCUCUGAGUUCUGCUGUCACUGACCCCCACAGCUAGAUGGUCAUUGUAUUUUUGCUUGUUUUUUUUUUUUUUUUUUAAGUGUCAACAUUUCUGUAUACAUUUCAUAUGUAAAUCUUUGCAUAGUCCAUUGCUACUAAUAUGACUGGCUGACUCAGAAAACAGUCUCACAUCCUUGAUCAUAGGUCAGCGACUACAACGUUGAAUGAGUUUUAGAGCAAUAAUAUUUGGGUAACAUUCCUUAGCAUAUUCAAGAUUAUGCAUAAAGUAAGUUUGUGGAGAGGGUUCUCAAAAAAUAUUUUUCCAAUAAAGUUGCUUUAUCUAAUUGUGUGACGUUUCUAACCAAACCUUUCAGCAGGAGGGCAGACCAGUUGUUGAAGGGGCUUUCACCCUCUAACAGAGUGACCAAACAAUCUCUGCUCUGGAACACCUUGCCGGUUCCUUGAGAUGUAUAUGAGGAAAGUUAGGUGCAAACACCUAAAGCCUGUAAUAUCUAGGGCCUGGUCUACAUGUAAAACUGAGGUGUACCUAGCUACAUCAGUUGUGUGGCGUGGGGGUGAACAAAAUUCACACCCUUGAAAACCAUAGUUAAGUUGACCUAAGCCAUGAUGUAGACAUCACUAGGUCAACUAAAGCAUUCUUCCAUCAACCUAGCUAUCACCUCUUGCAGGGGUAGAUUAAAUAAAAUUACAGAAAAAAUCCUUCUGUUGCUGUAACUUCUGUAGUAUAGACACAGUUUAAGUUAGGAGGGGGAAAGGUAGUGUUGAAGUGUGAGAGACAAGGGGUGUGUGAAGAACAUGAACUUCAUCAGUAAUCUCUAGGAAAGGAUGCUGGAGUUGGUCAUGGACAGGGCCAGCUUUAGGCCGAUUCCCGGGAAUCGGGCCCUGUGCCUUAGGGGCCUUUUUAAUUUCUUUUUUUUACUCAUCCGGCACCUGUAGGGGAGGGGUCCUUAGGUGCUGCAGAAGACCCGGAGCGGACCCCCCCACCUCACCCCGCCGAAGUGCUGCCAAAGCCCCAGACCGCCACCAGGUAUUCAAAUCGGGCCCUGCAGUUCAUAAAGCCGACCCUGGUCAUGGAAAGUGGUGUCUUUUUUAAACUUGUGGUUGGUGUGGAACAGUAUCCCCAAUUGCAAACCAGCAGAGCAAUGCUGAGAGAAAGAUGAUUUUUUUUCCCCUCCAAAGAAUGUGUGAUCCAGAGUAUUUACGUAUUCUAAACAGUUUCUUUUUAUUAGUUGUUGAACAGAAUUUGUAUUUAUUGCUUAUAUAAUUUCCUGCAUGCAAUUAAUGUAUUUUUCUUUAGUUAAUCUAGUAUAUCUGCUUGUUUUAACCAACACCUCAAUGUAAAAAUAAGCCAGCCUUGUGGCUAAUUAUAAAGUUAUUCUAUUUAUCACCUUCUUUUAAGCCAGUUGAAACAGUCUCACACUUCCUGUGUGCCAAAUACACUCUUGUUGCCUUCUUCUGAAAACCCUUCCUGUUUGUGUCAGCACCUUCCCGUACCUUGCCUGUUGCUCCAUGUAUUUGUCUGUUAGACUAAAUGCCAGAACAGGGGCUUUGUUUUUUUGACAUGUAUGUAUUUAGCUGUAGAGCUGUAACUCAGUAUAGCACAACGGUUGAAAGGAUUAAACGAUGGGGUUGGUUUACAACUAGGUAGUGAAGUACUCCUCUGACUGGGUAACUUAAGUAAAGUCAAUGGCCUGGUAUUAAAACCUUCAGCUUGGAUCUGUUAAUUCCUGGAAGAAAAGGCUGUCAUAGUGAGAUAGAAUAGUAUCGGUAUCACAUCACUCAUGGGACUGAGUAGUCUGUUGCUUAUAAAUCAGACAUCAAUUUUAUAUCUAAAAAUCAUCGAGGUAGGAAUCGCAUGAUAAAGUGGUGCCCUGGGACAAUUAGUACGUUUCAGCAGCUGGGCUACAUCAAAGGCUUCCAUUGCUGACUCUUGAUCUUACACAGUACUCAGAACUGGUAUGUAAAUCUUUUUGGUGUUCUAUUUUCCCCCUCCCCUGAUCCUUUGUAGUCCACAUUCAUCACACUUUUUCCAAGGGGAAGGGGGUUGUCAGGGUGGCUGGGACAAUGGCUAUGGGCGUUGGCUCUCAUUUCAUAAGUUCCACUGAAGAAUUCUUUACACCAACCCCUUCUGGAGUGUUGGGGCAACUUAAAAGUGUCCAAAAAAAAUUUUUUUUUUUUUUGCAGUGCCCAGUCAGAAAAAUGCAAAUUUCUUGUGAAAGCUUCAAAACUCCUAUGUGAAAAACCUGGUUAAAGUGUAAGCCUAAACUAUCUAUUUUACAGGUCAAAGUACUCAGCAAGUAUAAGAGGAAUGUGCAAAAAGGGCAAUUUAACACCUCGUUGGAGUCAGCCACUUGACAUCUGAACAUGAACUCAGCUUUUCAUGUGACUCUUUACUGUGCUUUAUGACUUUAAAAGAGAGACACAGUCCUUCCACACAGACAGCUUUAAGUCAUGUUGUCUUCUUUAUUGAUAUCAAAAGAUAAAAGGAGCAACAUGCAUUCAGAAGAAUCAUACAAAGGUUCUUAUCCAGCAGAGAGACUGAUGGUCUGUCUGCUUUCAGGUUGAAACUGAUGCCAGGGAAAGGAAGUCAGUGUAGAAGCAGGCCUGAGAUGACCUAUAACAGUUGCAAAGAAGAGCCUACCACUGCAGAAAAGUCAAUGGUGCUUGCUUUUCAUUUUUUAAAGUUAUACUUGUUCAUUCCUCCAUGAUAAUCACGCAUUAUUAAAAUGUCAAUGGGAAA
Long non-coding RNA from Gopherus flavomarginatus (Mexican gopher tortoise), 2844 nucleotides. RefSeq lists it as uncharacterized. The record is from RefSeq and is a predicted model, not a curated record. Lineage: Eukaryota; Metazoa; Chordata; Testudines; Testudinidae. The transcript has 2 exons.